UACGUAGGAGGCGAGCGUUAUCCGGAAUUACUGGGCGUAAAGGGUCUGCAGGUGGCACUGUAAGUCAGAUGUGAAAGCUCCCGGCUCAACCGGGAGCGUGCAUCUGAUACUGCAGUACUUGAGUGAUAGAGGGGAAAGCGGAAUUCCUAGUGUAGCGGUAAAAUGCGUAGAUAUUAGGAAGAACACCAGUGGCGAAGGCGGCUUUCUGGCUAUUUACUGACGCUGAGGCGCGGAAGCGUGGGGAGCAAACAGG
Molecule: ribosomal RNA, 253 nt
Filed under: uncultured bacterium
Lineage: Bacteria
Description: partial 16S ribosomal RNA
Rfam family: Bacterial small subunit ribosomal RNA
Source: RNAcentral